Orcinus orca (killer whale) is the source of this 7396-nucleotide long non-coding RNA. RefSeq lists it as uncharacterized. The record is from RefSeq and is a predicted model, not a curated record. Lineage: Eukaryota; Metazoa; Chordata; Mammalia; Artiodactyla; Delphinidae. The transcript is spliced from 8 exons.
AAUUUCAAAAUGGCACUCAUAGCACUGGUGCUAGCAAGGUAGCCUGAGAUCACAGAAAUAAAUCCAGCAAUGACUCAGUCCCUGGGGAGCAUCCCAACUGGUUGCGAACUCUCUGGUGGAUGCUUCAAGAGUACUGUAGAUCUUGCUGACACUGCCCCACGGAGCCACCACUCAGUCAAGUGACAACUUCUUUUGCCAUCGAGACCCAUGAGCCGAUGACUGUCAACCGGGGAAUGUCCCCUACCUUCUCCCCAGCUCAGCCCAUCAUAACCGGUUAUUACUGCAUCUGUGCGCGACCACACGGAUUGUGCGCUGGAGGGAGCCACGUCCCUGGAUGCUGAUGCUGUGGGAGCCUGAAGUAACUUUCCAGCUGCCUCCCAGCCCUCUGACCUGAUUGAGCGUGUCUCUGUCUUCAUCUUACUACAUCUACGGAACACUUCUCAGAGUUGGUUAUUUCCGAGCAGGGCAAAACUGUUCCAGGAAGCGAUCAUUCCUGCUGAUUCCAUCCUCACAGGUUAGCAAUCUUAACAUUCGGGGCACAUCUCACUAUAGCAGGUGCAAGGAAAUGGAAGACUGAGUAAAGCACUCGCUGGUGACGCUACAGUAGUCAUCAAACGUGCGUGGGCAUUGAUCACCCAGGACGCAAGCGGACUUGUGAGAACACAGAUAUGGGGCCGUGCUCUCAGAGUUUCUUGUUCAGUUGGUCUGGGACAGAGCCGGAGAAUUUGAAUUUCUCCCAACCUCCCAGGGACCACUCUUAGAGAACUGCCACGCUGAUAUGAUGAGACAGGUGGUCACAAAGCUUCUCAGUAGUCAGCAGGUAGUGCUCAGCGUUAAGCAGUAAACUCAAAGUCAAGCUUAAAGCGAACUCUGUCCAAAGGAAGCCACUGUUUUGGGCUCCUCGAUUUCUUUGAGGCACAUUCUGCUCACUCGUUGCCAUGUUGUGCAUAUUUAAUCGUCUACACAUGAAGGCAGACAGAGGAGGUGAGGGGAUCUUGGACCCUAAAGGUGAGGAAAAUGCCAUCAGAACUGUGCCUUCCCAGCCUCCUGUACACAAAGGAAGAUGAAGAAUGGCUAAGGGGUUUCUGCUGGUGUCUCCAUGUCAAUAUUAUGGAUUUUAAUGGUUGAUGAGAAAGAAGUGUUACAACGUUUCAGGGACCCAGAUCAACCAAAGGCUUUAGAUCUAAGUAAGACCGAAUCUUACUUAGAACAAGAGCCAAAAAACUGAACUUGUACCAGAUACAAUACAGACAAGACAUACCGGAUAAGCACCAUUUUGAUAUUGAUGAUAAAAUAUGAAGGUCAUAAAAAUGAAAACACACCAAAAUUUCCAAAACCAAUGAUCAGGAGAAUUUCUGAAGUAAUGGACCAAGCACGGCUAUAGCAAGGGACCUGGGCCGAAGGGUAGGAAGAGUGGAGAGAAAGAGAUCGAAGGUACAACAGUGGGACAUUCCUGAGGAGAAGGUUUGGACCCCGAGGUUCCUGACGUGCCCUCUGGUUCGGCUACAGCACAAGGUCUGCAGGCAGCGGUCAGACUCACCAGUCUCUUCUGAAAUGUAGGAAAACAUUUCAGGAAAAGCAGAUCUGUGCCAGGGUCAGCCAUCUGAAGCUCUGAUUUCAAGAGGAAAGCAGAGGGGAGUGGAAGAGAAAGUCGGCCUUUGCCUCGGGAUGAAGGCGACCCUCUCUGUGACUUGGCUCGCGUCUUCCUGCAGCAGAAGGAGGGCAGCGUGAUUCUGGGUCACUUUGUGACGGGCGGACCACACAAAACAAAGGAGGGCGGUGCUGCGCGCUGACUGCUGCCCCGGUUUGAAAACAUUUAAUCAACUCUCCUCCCAGGACAUUUGAGUUCUGUGCACUCCUGCCCUUGUGGGCUCCGUCUGGAAGAAAAAGUGCCAAAACCACCGCUGGAAAGGCGGCCCGGAGGUAUUUUCAGUCCGCCUGGAAGCAGCAGAUUUGGGUCCUCUGACAUCACGGAUGAGAAGAAAGUACCCGGGGAGCAGCCUGUGGAUGAGAAACUUCUUUUCGGGGGAGCCGCAGCUGCUGCCUGGAGCCUGACAUCCUGCCCCCCAACAGUUUAGAGAAAUGGGGCCUGCUCAGGGUCCACAAACACCUGGCCGGGAGGGGUCUGAGCCUCCUCUGAGCCCCCCAGCACCGGAGCUCCAUUCUCAGGAAGCAACCCCAGCGUCUGAGAGCAUCCACCUCACUUCCUGAAUCUUUGGAAAAGAAUUUGCCAGGGGCUUCCAGAGACUUGGGCCAAAAUCCUCACUUGUCCUCCCACUUGAACACGUUACCAGACCUACCUGGGCUUCGGAGUUUUACCUCUGAAACGAGAAGACGGGGGGAGCCAACCUCUGGGGUGCCUCAGCCCGGGUGCCCGUUGUCCCUGUAUCUGGACCAACCCACAGGCCGGGCGGCCACCUCGGGGCCCCCAGCGGCCCCUCCCAGCCUGGUUCGCGGGGAGUCUCCCUCAUCUCCACCUCCAGGUCGCCCCGUAAACCGCGAGCUCCUGUAGUCCCUGCUCAGAAGAGCGCUCUGAGCAGGGGCUAAGGCCUUUCACUGAGUCCUGCAGGCCUCGGCUUGCUUGCUGAGGGGACGGGGUGUCUGCGACGGUGUGACCAUGGCUCCCACAGCCUCGGGGACACGCCCAGGCUCGGGCCAGCGCACAGAGGCCAUGCUUUCAGAGUGAGUUCAGCGGGCCUGACGGGACCCACGGCCCGGUCAGCUGUCAGCCACACGCAAGGUUAUCUGUGGGCGGAAACCGUCACCGUCUAUGUCUGCUGGGAUUUUGGCAGCCACGGGAGGGACGGUGCAUCCCUACAGGCCUGGCUGAGUCAGGUUCCCUCCGUGCCAACGGUGCCGCCAUCUUUGGCCGCCAAGGAGAGACGUUUUGGCAGGGCCCAGCGGCGUUUUCCCCGGAGGACAGUGUUACCGGCUCGCGGAGGAGACAGAGCUAGAAGGUGGCAGAGCUAGAAGGGGGCUGGGAUUCUGGAAGGACCUGGAUAGUUCUCGGAAAAUCUGGUAGCCAUUUUUGAAAGGAAAAAAAAACCAAAUCAAGGGGUGGGAGUGAGAGCGUGGAACUUCUUGGAAAUGAGGAGAAAGAAAAUAACACGUCCGUCUCCUCAGCCUUGACCUCGUGGCCCCGCGGCCGGCUGGACGACUCUGCUGGACUUUCCUGAUGCCAACUCGGAUCCAAAGUGUCCAAAACUGAGGUCAUCCUCCCUCACCCUGGCUCCUCUUCCCGUUCUGGCAGUAGAGCCACUCUUCAGACACCAGAGCGGGGCCUCGGGGGAAACCUCUGAUCUUCCCUUCUUCACCGCCGUGUCCGGCCGUCUCCUGCUCUGAGUCAGGAUUUCAAAGUCAUUGCUCACAAAAGUGAACAUAACUAAAGUGACCACGAAAGAAAAGGAAUCUCCAAAAGGAGAACUAAACCAAACGUCGGAGUAAACCGGGGGAUUUCCCACUGCUUCAUCCCACAGGCUCCGGCCUAGCCAGGACACCUGCCCCAGGCCUCGGGCUCGGAGCCCACCCAGCCCCCGUGGAGCCCACGUCCCGCACCUCCCCCUGGGCCCAGGCCCCUGACCCAACCUUUCCUGGAUUUGCUGUCCCUGUUCCUAAGGCCCUCACCCCUCCUCCCACCUGCCCUAUGAGACGUCCUUCCUUUGCCUUCUGAACUCACAGUAACUGUCAGAGCCCAGCUCAGCCAUGCAGCCUCUACCUGUGGGGCUUCCUGACCCGUCCCUGCCUUGGGGUUCUACUGCGCCCACAGCAAGGACAACGGAGCAUCGGCUCCCAGCUCGGGCCCCAGAGCCAUGCGACACCUGUAAGUGGGAGCCACGCAAUGCCGGCUGAGUUGCGUAACAUUUCAGAGCCUUUGCCGUCCUUUCUGUAAAAUGCGACUGAUAACAGUACCUAACUUACGAGGGUGAGGGGAGGAUUAAAUAGGAUAUUGCCCUCAGUGUGCUUAGUACAAUGUCUGACAAUUAAUUAAUAAUCAGUCAACAAUUCUUGUUGUCACUGCUGUCCUUCUUCCUACUCUCUCAUUUCCACUUUCCCGUUUGCUCGUUUGUUUUCAUGCGGCCAUCUUGUCGACCCCUACUAACUUGUAAGUUCUCGAAGGGCAAAGACAACGCUAUCUUUGUAUUAUGUUCUGCCCCGUGGUGCGCAUACACACGCACACACGCGUGCACACACACACACACACACACACGACGUUGUUGGAGUCGUGCCGGGGGCUGAGUAGAUGGUGGACGGACAAAAUUCCUGUCUGUCUGUGUGCAGGGUAGGUGGAGGCCUGGGGCCCCCAUCAUCUGUAGUGAUGAAACAUGGGCCUCGAGUAAAGAGGCCAGGCUGCCAACCAGGAGAGGCAGUGAGGGAGCUUCCAACGAGCACAGUUAUUUUAUCCAAUGUCACCCAAAGGAAGGCUAGGAUAACAUGCUCUGACUUUGGGGAAUUUAUAAAAUAGGCAAAGAACAACUGAUGAGGACAUGACAACUUCUGGAUUCAGGAUUUCAGGCAGCGUGUGAGGAGAAGGUGAAGAAAGGAAAGAGGCAGAAAGGGUCCCAAACCGUAGCCCCUGGUGAUGGCCGUGUAAUGGUUUUAUCUGAUCCAGGAACAAAACAAAGACAACUCUUUUCCAUGUCAGAGUUUUAAUUCUAGCGCUAUUUCUCCAUCAAACAAAACUGAACUCAAGGUAAAAUUGAAGGAGAAUCCAAUAGAAAGCAAUUGAGGACAGGCAAAGUGAACCAAAAUAAUGAAAGAGGCCUUUAUCACAUCAUGCCUCAAAACAGAAUGAAGAGACAGGCCCCAGCCCUCGAUCCCUCCCUGAUUUCCAGGCCUGGGACUCCCCAGAGGCAGACUUCCUACCGGUUGUCCCAUUGUUGCUUCAAUCCAGCCCCAGGGCACUGAUCUUAUCUCUUCAGGUUUAUUCAUUUGUUUUCCUAUCUCUAAAAUGCACCUUUGUAUAGAAUCUGGGCAUGGCUGAAAAAUUACCCCAUUCUCAGCAGUGUCUGCACUAAUCAUGGCCCCUCCCUCCUACUCUCCCACCUGGGACCGUCAGCACACCCCAGCCGUUGUCAUCAGGCAACAUCCUUAGCACCACAGGGGGGUAAGAAAUACAAAGGCACAUUUGGGGUAUAAAGACCAGUGCUGUUUGGGCUUUAACCAGACCAGCAGAAGAAAAGGACCCUUCAAGGGAGAGGGCCUUCCACUAAAAGGGAAACAACCACAAAACAAAACAAAAUCAGGAACGCUGGAAUAAUUAGUCACUCAAUAUUGUAACAGUCUGUUUCUUAGCUAAGCUCUGUUUUGUUUUCAGUACUACAUAGAUCGGGGUUGGGGGGGAGAUGGAGGUGGGCGUGUUUGCAUCCUGACCUGUGCCAUUUGUGCAAAUUCCCAGGUAAACUGAGUCCGUUAACCAAAGAAAUAAGGAAGAAAUAGAAACGGUUGUCCCAGGGUAGGCCUGCCUUUACAGAUGUCACAUUUCAAAGUCACGUUUGCUGUCACUACAAUGAGAACUCGGUCAUGGCUGGGGCCACUGCCUCAUGCACUGGGCAGAAACAGACGUCAGAGGGAGAAAUGUGCUGUAGCCACACCGGGGGGAACGUGUGCCAUUGCUGGUGCUUUAAAUGAUCUGAGAAUGUGCCCCAGUGUUGACCGUUUCAAACGCUCUACUUAUGUUAGACGGGCUUGAGACGUAGGGACGUCUGUGGGACUAAAAUAAAACAGUCUUUCCCUUGUCCUGGAGAACAAAGCCCAGAACUAAGGAGCCAGGUCUUGGUUAUCAGAAGGCCUAUUAUCUGCUCUUUAUCUGACAUUACUUUGGGGCUAGCUUUGGGCCCCUCUGUCCAUCUUUCAGCCAGAGAGCAAGGGAACGGAGCCCAGCCUUACGAUUCAUCUAAGCGACACGUAACUGAGAUGGCAAAUCUGCAAAAAAACCAAAAUUAGACCAACUCAAAGCAAGACUCUAGUCCCCUCCACACACAGGCAGCGCCUUGGAGAGGCGAAUCACGCUGCCCUUCAGAUGCUCUGCCUCACUGCCCCCCACGCUGAGAAACGACUGGGUCGGAACUGGUCUCCGGUCGUUGCUGUGACCAGGAAGGGCUGCCUUUCCCUGGGUCUCAGGAUAUGUGCUUGGUAACUUUCCAGACAUUUAUUGCCACAGUUCAGCCCUGUGCUGCCAAGGUCGGAGCCAAAAAGGGCGUCUGAAAAUGUGCAAAAGUGAGAUCUCGCUUGGCCCAGGCCUAGCCUGAGGGAAGAGAACCAGACGUUCUCCUGCCAGAAGCCAGUCCCCAACUUCAUGGAAACUGGGGAUCGUUUCUGAUGUCCUUCUCACUCUGCCAAGGUCCAAUGCAGCUGCAAUCAUUCUACCUCCAAUUCAAGUAUGUCCUUGAUCCUAAGAUCUUGGAGGCAUCUGGUUCUUCUUUCUUUCUUUCUUUCUUUUUUCUGGCCGGGCCACACCGUGUGUGGGAUCUUAGUUCCCUGACCAGGGAUCCAGCCCAUGCUUCCUGUAGUGGAAGCGUGGAAUCUUCACCACUAGACUGCCAGGGAAGUCCCCGGAGAUGUCUGGUUCUUAAUCAUUAAAUGCAUAUUAAUAAAAACCAAUGUGCUAUACCAUAUCAUGAUAUAUUUAUCACAAUAAUCCAAGAAUAGUGUGUAUUAAUAGAAGGAUAUUAUAUUAGCUAUAAUUACUAGUCUAUUACUAAUUAAUGUUAAUUAUAUUAACUAUAGGUAUAGCUAAUUAUAUUAACUCUACUAUAAGGUGAGAGUAACAUGUUAAUAUAAGAAUAUUCUAUAAAUACUCGGUUCCUCUGCAUUUGUGAAAAUUGACACAAGCUGCAAUGGUAGAUGCCGUGCUGCUCUAACCAGAUGCCGACUGUUGGCUCCCCGGGCUGACAGCUCAGCUCCCAGCCCCCUUCCAGGAACUGCUCUUGGCCGAAGCCGGCUGCCUCACCGUUUCCUGCCCUUUUCCUGGGGAUGGCCUGCAUCCAAAUAACUGGGUGAUGUGCAGUGUGGAGGCUUGGCCCCUGACCCCAACUUGGGCCCACUGCGUAAGACGUGGGGCUCCCUGUGGGGCGGGGUGGGACCACCUCCCUCGGGCCCAUCCUGCCUUCUCUCCCUUCAGCUGUCACUCCUGAGAGCACUUCAUGCGAAUCUUCAUCUCAGAGUCCGCUUCCCGGGGAGGUUAAUCCGCAGCUUUGGUCCCAGCAGGUGCCUGCCUGACCACGUGCUCGGUGGGCCCAGUACUGCCUGCCCCCAGCCACUGGCAGUCGUGGUGCAGCGCUGAUGGUGUCUGGGACAGGCUGCUGGUGGUGACUCUUCCGCUGGUGGUGACUGGAUGUCACAGGCGUAGAAGGAAGGCUCAGUAUAUCAAGUGUCUGAUAAACUUGGGAGACCUGAG